This 253-nucleotide ribosomal RNA is filed under the name uncultured bacterium. RNAcentral's name for it is "partial 16S ribosomal RNA". It matches the Rfam family "Bacterial small subunit ribosomal RNA", at positions 524 to 776 of the family's 1533-position model. The record is from RNAcentral.
UACGGAGGGUGCUAGCGUUGUUCGGAAUCACUGGGCGUAAAGCGCGUGUAGGCGGCCUGUUAAGUCUGAUGUGAAAGCCCGGGGCUCACCCCCGGAAGUGCAUUGGAAACCGCCAGGCUCGAGUCCCGGAGAGGAGGGUGGAAUUCCUGGUGUAGCGGUGAAAUGCGUAGAUAUCAGGAGGAACACCGGUGGCGAAGGCGGCCCUCUGGACGGUGACUGACGCUGAGACGCGAAAGCGUGGGGAGCAAACAGG